Molecule: ribosomal RNA, 465 nt
Filed under: uncultured bacterium
Lineage: Bacteria
Description: bacterial SSU rRNA
Rfam family: Bacterial small subunit ribosomal RNA
Source: RNAcentral
CCUACGGGGCGCACCAGUGGGGAAUAUUGCACAAUGGGCGCAAGCCUGAUGCAGCCAUGCCGCGUGUAUGAAGAAGGCCUUCGGGUUGUAAAGUACUUUCAGCGGGGAGGAAAGGGAUGUGGUUAAUAACCGCAUUCAUUGACGUUACCCGCAGAAGAAGCACCGGCUAACUCCGUGCCAGCAGCCGCGGUAAUACGGAGGGUGCAAGCGUUAAUCGGAAUUACUGGGCGUAAAGCGCACGCAGGCGGUCUGUCAAGUCGGAUGUGAAAUCCCCGGGCUCAACCUGGGAACUGCAUUCGAAACUGGCAGGCUUGAGUCUCGUAGAGGGGGGUAGAAUUCCAGGUGUAGCGGUGAAAUGCGUAGAGAUCUGGAGGAAUACCGGUGGCGAUGGCGGCCCCCUGGACGAAGACUGACGCUCAGGUGCGAAAGCGUGGGGAGCAAACAGGAUUAGAUACCCUCGUAGUC